Non-coding RNA from Rattus norvegicus (Norway rat), 4287 nucleotides. Lineage: Eukaryota; Metazoa; Chordata; Mammalia; Rodentia; Muridae. The record is from RefSeq and is a predicted model, not a curated record.
UCUUAGAUAUUCCUUCAGUAACUCUAGGGUUUAUGAACUGUCCCCUAGUUCAGAGUAAACUGUCAUUUGGGAGUGAUAACAAGAGGAUAAAGACAUCACAGAUGGGGAGAAGGAAGCUGGACUUCUGUCUUGGUCUAAAAAAAGGAGGAAAUAUAUCAUCCAUGGGAAAGCUCAGUGAGUCCUGGAUAGGAGUUGAGGGGGUUUGCUGAAGAGAUAGCCUAGAACUGAGCCUUCCCCAUAUGGGAAUCAGGAGCUGCGAGCCUCCCAGCAGCAUCUGGACGUUCCUGCUUGUUAUGGUUCCUGGAAGUCAGAGAUUUUAUAUCAUUAAUAUAUUCAUUCCAAAAACCAGGUGUUGGGGAGGGCAAAGUUGCUUUCCUGAGAGGUCAUGGAUUUUACUCUUUUUGCCCAGAAGAAAACGGUCCUAAGGAAAAGGAAAAGACCAAUAUUGUGUCCUCAGCUCAGAGUAAACUCCAUGCAUUGGAUUCCUAUGGUGCAGUUUGUGUCUGACACUGGUAUCUGCGAGAGAGAAGUGCUACCAAGUUGAGACUUCAUCAUCACAGUCUUUUCACUAGUAUUACUCUGAGUACCAUUCCCUGACAGUUACCCUUUAUAUGUCUGAGUCAAUAGGGACUUACAGCCUCAGGAGAAAGAUAACAUGGGACUUUAAUAAACAUGCAUCGUGUAGUAAUACCUAGUCUCUUCCCUUACUUUACCUUCCCUGUCUGUAUUUUCCUAAUGGAUGUUGUACAUAAAUGUAGUGGUGACUGCCUUUCAGGAGUAUAGAAGUUGUCAUAUGUGGCACCCAAAUGAAGAAUUUGACUUUUCUUCCCUGGCUGGAGCUCCUUACCAAUGAUCUACUACAUCGUUUUCCCUAUGACUGCUGCUUUGAUUUGUGUGUGUGUGUGAGUGAGUUGUGUUUGUGUGUGUGUGUAUCUGUCUCUCUCUCUGUCUGUCUUUCUGUCUUAGUCUCUGUCCAUCUGUUUCUUCCACAUGAUACCUAUCUAUACUUCAGUUUGACUUCUUAAUUGCUCAUUCCAAGAUUGACCCAUCAUGCUUUCCCUGAGUGUUUGCUAUUGAUGACUCAAAUUACACCUGUGUUAAUCAAUGCACCUGUUGCCAGAACUGUGUACCACUGAUUACAUCACAAUCAGUCUCAUGGCUAAAAUAAAUAAUUUUCGAGGCUCUGAGGGAAUUUUUUAUCAGAAUUUAAAAGUUUUCUGUAUUUUUUACUCCCCUAUCCAUACUGUUGUAGUCUGUGGAUAUUCCCCAAGUCUUUGCUCACUUGUAUUUAUCUAUGUACCUGGCCUACUGGGAAGACAUCAUCCCAACCCUCCAAUAUUACUUAGCAGGAGGAAUAGAUGAAGAAUUUGGAAAAAUUGGUCAUUUAGCUACAGAAGAUGUCCCCUGAGAUGGAUUAACUGUGUCGAAUUAACACAUCACUGACAAGAAUUAUGAACUAUGUUCUCAGUUUAUUUUCUUCUUUGUCAUUUUGAGUGUGCUUCCAAAGGAGUGGGGGACCAUUUGUGGGCUGUGUUUGAGAAUUGAGUCUUAAUUAUUCAUGCAUGAAGGUGGUAAAAAAUUCAAUAGAUCAGUGAUAUCUCUGGGUUAGAAGGGAUAGUGAUAGAAAGUCUUCCUUUGUGUCUCAGGCAAAGAUCCUUGAAAGGGCAACAUGGUUUGUUUAUUUGGAGAAGAUCUAGUUAAAGGGAAGUUAUGUGCUGUUGAAUGGGACUAUCUUCCGGAUACUCUAAUGUAUGCUGGAAUUUCCAUUGUAUUCUCUGUGAUGUCACUAGUGUUAUGGAAACAGAAACUGCCCUCGUGGCAAUUAGUUAGUACUUAUUUGUUUACCCACUCAAAUGUUUUUCAGGAUGAUCAAGCUAUUUACAGAGAAAACAGAGAGCAUGGAGAGACAAAAGAGAGAGGAGGAAGAAAUUAAGAUACUUUCUUGUUAAAGAAGUGAAACAUAAAUUAUCUGGUGCAAAAAGGCAAGUGAGAGCAGUGGGCUGGUUCUGAGGAACCUCCUAGAGGAGGUAGUCUUGGCUCAGGCCUUCUAGGAGUAGGACUUAUGACCUGAAGGCUCUGAAUCCCUAAAGAAGAGACCCAGUUUCAGGAAUAUCUGAUAAAUUUAUUGGCAGAGAGUCAGGAAUUGUCAAGCAUGCAUCUUGUCUACUAUGCAUUCCUUAGUUUCAUUCUGAAUGAGGAAGAAUGCCAAGAAGAGGCACAGCGAUAAAAGCUUUGACUCUCAGGGUAGAGUAUUGAAUUUUAUCUUCACAGGAUUCCUGGACAUGCCAUAGGAAUUUAUGACAAGGGCUACUCCGCUCACAUGCAUCAAGGUCUCUUACUCUUUGUCUUGAACAUACAUGAUUAAGGCUUGGUGGUCCUUAACACUAUGGACUCCAGGACUUACAUGCAUCCCAUCAGAUACGAACUGAAAAUAUCUUCCAUUUAUUCAUGUCUUGACCAGAUUUUGUUGUUAAGGGCCAGGGCGACUGCAGAAGGCAGUGAGGCACAUGUUUAGGGAUCACGGUUGCGAGAAAGAAAAUAGCUAAUAAGUCCAGCUUGAAGAGAGCUUUCCUCAUCUUUCAGUGCUUCCAAGUAUCUGUAGAUUUCCCAUUUCAUCAUGGUUCAUUAGGGACUCAGCAUUUUCUCUCCUGUGACUGGGCCAUUACUAUGCAUGUUCCCUUGUGUUUCUCUUCAGGGUCUGCUGGGAAGUCGUCAUCCCAACCUUCCACCAUCAGUGAGCUAGUAAAUCAGAUUAAGAAUUUGGAGAAAUUGAUUAUUUAGCUCCAGAAGAUGACCUGUGAGUUUGGUAAACUCCCAGGAAAGCUGACCCAUUGAACCAACAGCAUUUGGACAAAAGAUAGCCAUUAUGCCCACUUCUUUGUUGACAGUCCUGACCCCUCUGUGUUAACCUCAGUUUUCUCACACCACAGGAAAAUGCAACUGUAAUGUCCUCAUGUAUGAACUAAUUUUCUUGUGUGCCACGCAGAGGCAGGACAUGAAGAAAGGAUAGGAGUUUAAUAAGAAACUACAUAAUUCUCAGAAAAGCAGAAGCUGUGUUUUGAAUAAAAGCCUUGGGAUUGGGCAGGAAGAACCUACAAUAAGAAAGCCACCAUCAGAGCUGCCCAUCCUCCCCAGCACUAAAGAAAGAAAAGAUUUACUUUGUCUGGGUUAUGGAGAUUUUCUUGUAGACUGGGCUCAUAGCUUCAGACCUGAAGAGAGGUAGACUAUGGAAAUGGGAGCUCCUUUUGGAGGAUUCUGCUUAUCUUGGAGUAAUUGGGAAAUACUGAGGAAGCCUAAAAUGUUGGUCCACCACCUUAUCCCUUGCUGAGAAUAAAGUCUCCUGGGAACUGGGUAAGCAGGGUAAGCAGGCAUGGCUAACAAGACAAUCCAGGUGGGUAAACAUUUGUCCAUUAGGUAUACAGGGGGAGCAUUUCAUUGACUAAGCUGAAUGUAUCUGCUCUCCACUAUGUUCUAAUUCCAUGUAAGGAAAGUUUUGUUGAUUUUGUCUAUCCUGUGACCCAGCAAGUGUUUUUCACAUUCUUUAUGUUGUUUCUUCACUGAUAUGAACCAUGUGAGAAUGGAGGGAGCAAAGGAAAGCCACAGACAACAAUAUUCUACAUUCUAGAAGAUCAAGGCCUUCUCAUAAAAAGAAAACAUCUUUGUAUCUAUGAAUUGAGCAAUGAGUUAAAUUGCUACCAACCUCUGGUCAUGCAGCUGAUAUCUGGUACACUGGUCUAUUGACUAAGUAUUCCAUGAGGGAAAGAAAGCAUCAAAAAUUAGCAUGAGAUAAAAAAAGAACUUAAAAUGAGUCAGAACUCUGAUACCUAGCAGUAAUUGGUCCCGAUGAGGAUCAAAAAUUAUAUGAAGGUUAUUAUCUUGAGCAAGAUUUACUCUGCUGGAAUUCUCAGAUGUUCAUAUGUGCUUGAAAAUCUGUCACAUAAGACUGUAUUGACAUCAUACUCUAGUCCAGAAAGACCAUACACCAAAGUAUACUAUUCUUUCUGCAGUACAGUGUUGCAACUACUUCACAUUACACAUUUGUAUGUGAGGCUGAAAUUAAUGUUUUACAUAGAUGAAAGCAUUCCCUCAAUCCUUGUCUUAGUAAUUUUUUUAAUAUAGAAAAUGUCUGAUAAUUCAUCAGUUCCACACCUGAACUGAAGUAACUGUUCUUCUGACUGUAUUCAUAGAGGACAUCUGAGUAGUAGUAGACAUUUCUAGUCAAUGGCGUCUCCCCAUGAAUCUGUUUGAGCCUGAAUAAGAAUGCAUAGUCAUAUUUUAGCUAAGGGA